RNAcentral lists this ribosomal RNA (86 nucleotides) under Pseudomonas aeruginosa. Its description in RNAcentral is "partial 16S ribosomal RNA". It matches the Rfam family "Bacterial small subunit ribosomal RNA", at positions 1 to 85 of the family's 1533-position model. The record is from RNAcentral. Lineage: Bacteria; Pseudomonadati; Pseudomonadota; Gammaproteobacteria; Pseudomonadales; Pseudomonadaceae.
GAACUGAAGAGUUUGAUCAUGGCUCAGAUUGAACGCUGGCGGCAGGCCUAACACAUGCAAGUCGAGCGGAUGAAGGGAGCUUGCUC